RNAcentral lists this ribosomal RNA (112 nucleotides) under Pedobacter sp. The record is from RNAcentral. Lineage: Bacteria; Pseudomonadati; Bacteroidota; Sphingobacteriia; Sphingobacteriales; Sphingobacteriaceae.
UAAGGUGCCUAUAUCGGCGGAGUCCACCUCUUCCCAUCCCGAACAGAGAAGUUAAGCCCGCCAGAGCCGAUGGUACUGCUGUAAAAAGUGGGAGAGUAGGUCGGUGCCAAAU